GGGGGCGACCGGCUUCGACCGGAUGCUGUCACGGCCUGGGUGGCGCGCCGAGGUCCGGAGCCCUCGUAAAUCUCUUCGGAAAUCUGAAGUGCCAACACGCACCUCGCUCUCGCUGCCUAAGAACUAGGUAACGACGCCGGAGCCCCUUCGCCUGCGAGGGGUCGAGGCGAUAAAUAGCAGGCUGGUUGCGACACGGCUGCUCGGCCUGUGCGCGAUAAGAAAAUGUCGAGCUGGCCACGUCUUAUCCUGUUCGUCGGAGCAGGCGUGGCGACACUAAAUGACGAGCUACGCGCGUAGAGGCUCAGGUCGGGGUAUCUCGGGACGUGGGUUCGAUUCCCACCGCCUCCACCA
RNAcentral lists this transfer-messenger RNA (351 nucleotides) under Planctomycetota. RNAcentral's name for it is "BJHM01 sp014192625 Standard tmRNA". It matches the Rfam family "transfer-messenger RNA". From Rfam's summary of the family: Bacterial tmRNA, also known as 10Sa RNA or SsrA, is named for its dual tRNA and mRNA-like properties. Its role is to liberate the mRNA from a stalled ribosome. The record is from RNAcentral. RNAcentral also lists the same sequence under 1 other name. Lineage: Bacteria; Pseudomonadati.